ACCAGGGGAACUGAAACAUCUAAGUACCCUGAGGAAGAGAAAACAAUAGUGAUUCCGUCAGUAGCGGCGAGCGAACGCGGAUUAGCCCAAACCAAGGAGCUUGCUCCUUGGGGUUGUGGGACGUCUCACAUGGAGUUACAAAGGAACCGGUUAGAUGAAGAGGUCUGGAAAGGCCCGCCAGAGAAGGUAAAAGCCCUGUAGUUCAAAACCUGUUCCCUCCGAGACGGAUCCCGAGUAGUGCGGGGCACGUGAAACCCCGUAUGAAUCCGGCAGGACCAUCUGCCAAGGCUAAAUACUCCCUGGCGACCGAUAGUGAAGCAGUACCGUGAGGGAAAGGUGAAAAGCACCCCGGAAGGGGAGUGAAAUAGAUCCUGAAACCGUGUGCUUACAAGAAGUCAGAGCCC
Molecule: ribosomal RNA, 404 nt
Filed under: Paenibacillus polymyxa
Lineage: Bacteria; Bacillati; Bacillota; Bacilli; Caryophanales; Paenibacillaceae
Description: partial 23S ribosomal RNA
Rfam family: Bacterial large subunit ribosomal RNA
Source: RNAcentral